Molecule: ribosomal RNA, 188 nt
Filed under: uncultured bacterium
Lineage: Bacteria
Description: partial 16S ribosomal RNA
Rfam family: Bacterial small subunit ribosomal RNA
Source: RNAcentral
CCUACGGGAGGCAGCAGUAGGGAAUAUUGGACAAUGGGUGCAAGCCUGAUCCAGCCAUGCCGCGUGCAGGAAGAAAGCCUUCUGGGUUGUAAACUGCUUUUUUCAGGGGAUAAAAUACCGGUGCGCCGGGAAUUGCAAGUACCUGGAGAAUAAGCCACGGCUAACUACGUGCCAGCAGCCGCGGUAAU